AGAUAUUGGAUCAUGAACUGCAUCACCAGUCAGCCAUUCUGAUAGGAUAGUGGAAUGACCUGUUGACAUUCCAGAGUGUUUUCCAGUUCAAUCACUAUGUCACUCCAGGGCAUGAGACAGCUGAGUGGAAAGACCACCUUUGCUCUGGGUCAAGUGAUAGCAACACCAGGAAGCACAAUGCAGUGAAGACAGCGUGGUUGCAGGGACGCGGACCCUGAUUCCAGUACUCAUCAACGUCGGUCACUUUGGGCAAGCCACAAAUGAAAAUGACCCUCUGGCCCUGCAAGUUCUUCAGACGUCGUAACUGCUAAUGCUCUCUCAAUCUGCUUGUAACUCAGCGGCUUGGACAGAGUUCCCACCUUCCGUGAAUUGCAGGAUUACCACUCACUCGUCAUUACAGGGAUACGUCAGUCAAUAUAAUAUGAAGUCUACUCACAGAGGCACAGAAAGCCGUUACAGUGCCAUCACCCAAAAUGUUCAUCCCCCUGAAGAGGAAUGAAGGGCUUCUCCAGGCCAUUCCGGCUCUUGGAGGUUGUGCACCCAUCAGUGGAGCGAGACUCUGCGGCCUCUGGGUAACAAGGAAAACGCAAGGGGUUGGGUCCCUGCAGGAGGAGAUGUGGUUCAAAAAGAACUGAAUGGCUUCAUCCACUGGCCUCCUCGGUCCUAAGUGUUCACAAGCAGCCCAGGCUGGC
Ailuropoda melanoleuca (giant panda) is the source of this 692-nucleotide long non-coding RNA. RefSeq lists it as uncharacterized. The transcript has 5 exons. NCBI's taxonomy places the organism in Eukaryota, Metazoa, Chordata, Mammalia, Carnivora, Ursidae. The record is from RefSeq and is a predicted model, not a curated record.